UGAACUGGUUUAUUUUGGUCCUUUGGGUUUACAAAUUAUGUCACACUAAUUUUUUUUUUGCUGUAGAAGAACAUGAGUAAUUUUAUCUUUUUGGACAGAAGGAUGACUUACAAUAGAAACAAAGGUUAAUAGAUAAAAAAAAUAAAAAUUCUAAUGUUCAAGUAACAACACACAGAUUUGGAUAUUUUACCUAACUCAAAUAUGCUUGAAUUCAAAUCAACAAUAAUGAUUCUUGAAGCCCCUUCAACGCUUGUUCAUUUUGCAGCCUGUUAAAACGGGAUGAAACCAAUUUAGCAAUAAGAAGCCUCAUACAAAGCCUACAACUGCCAAUUCAAAAGCAGUUAUGAUGAGCCCUUUGUUGGUGUGGCAACAUUAAGAGUUGCGGCCUAUAAGCAUGCGCAACUUGACGAAUUACCUUUCAUAGAAUUUACCACUCAAGAUAGAGAAUGAGUUAAUAAUGAAAAAAAGACUCAAGAAGGCCAAAUGUAUGCCAACUCUCUUUCAAUUUUGGCAUCCUACUUGAGAAAUUUCAUGGUUUUUUUAUCUGAUUUCAAAUAUGAAUUCUCGCUCAAUUUCCUCCAUUUUGUGAUAGUUGGAUUAAACUAUGAAUAUGUUACGUAAAAUUACUUAUCAAUAUUUUACUGUCAGUGAAAUCCGUCUUCAUCAUUAUUAAUCAUCAUAAUAACUAUAUUUUUUUCUUAUGAAUAAGAAUAUCUUCUAAUCAAAUAGAACUAUGAACCAUAAUGACAUUGUAGGCUGAACAACCGUAUUUGGACUUUAAGAAUGGAAAAUAGAUUCAAAAAUUAACCGCACAUAAGCAAAGUGAAAAGUAUCCAAAUAAACAUUACCAUUUUGACAUAAACAUUACUCACAUAAAAUCGUCUUUCUCUUUCUCACUGAUAUUGAUCUUCAUGUCGUGCCUUUUUGGGAGCAUUCUUUCAUUAGCCAUGGAGAUCUCUUCAAUAUUUAUAUGCACACAGAUGUACCAAAUAGAAGAAGAAUCAUGAAAUCCACAGGAAGUCGAGAUUUUUUAAACUGCAUCUUCCAAUAUGUUAGAAAGAUUUUUGAAAACUGUAUCUUUCAUUCUUUAAAAUUUGUAGUAAGAGUUUCAUUCAAAGCAGAGUAAAGAGAGAAUGAAAAAAAAAUGAAGAAGAAACGGCACAAAAAGAAGUGGAAAACGUGGUGGAUUGUUAAGCCAAUCCCACAUUUGGGAAUUAUG
Molecule: long non-coding RNA, 1219 nt
Filed under: Nicotiana benthamiana
Lineage: Eukaryota; Viridiplantae; Streptophyta; Magnoliopsida; Solanales; Solanaceae
Description: long non-coding RNA (NBEN_LNC022554)
Source: RNAcentral